Molecule: non-coding RNA, 513 nt
Organism: Drosophila melanogaster (fruit fly)
Lineage: Eukaryota; Metazoa; Arthropoda; Insecta; Diptera; Drosophilidae
Source: Ensembl
AUUUUCAGUUUAGCCUGCCAUAAAAUAUUCUCACACGCUUCCGAAACUACUCCCAAAUGGCUGGAAAAGAGGGUCCGCGGGUGGAAAUCAACUCGGUGAUGCCGUGCCUUGUCAACUGGUUUGAAAAAUAGAUUUUUACGGGCUUAGUUGCGCAUCGUCAGCCACGCUGACUACAGAGGCGGCGUGGCAAGGAAUGAAAAGGAGCGGCAUGGGCCACUACAGGAUCUAUGGCAUCUAUAGGAACAACAGCACCAGCACGAGCACCAGCAGCAUAUUCUUCAUGGCAUCCCAUGGCCACCGGCAUCCGCAAUUUUCCCGCACUCCGCAUGCCAAAUCCCGCGGGGCGUUCGCUUUUGUGUCUCACUCGCGUCAUUUAAAAGACAUUUGCCUGUCAUUUUAUGCCGUGUUUGGCACAGUUUUCGCCCCCACCUCUUACAAUGCACUGCGGGAUAAUGUUGUACAGUAUUUACCCAAGUUGACGAUUUUAAUUAAAACUUUUUAUAUCUUUGCCAC